Molecule: RNA transcript, 1014 nt
Organism: Pan troglodytes (chimpanzee)
Lineage: Eukaryota; Metazoa; Chordata; Mammalia; Primates; Hominidae
Gene: TEX51
Gene name: testis expressed 51
Exons: 8
Source: RefSeq, a predicted model, not a curated record
CAGUGUUCCAUGUGGAACUUCCAGGCAGGGCACUGGGGCACAGUAGGAGGAACCCAGAAGAUGCUGCCUCUCCUGAUCAUCUGUCUCCUGCCUGCCAUUGAAGGGAAGAACUGCCUCCGCUGCUGGCCAGAACUGUCUGCCUUGAUAGACUAUGACCUGCAGAUCCUCUGGGGGACCCCAGGGCCACCCACAGAACUUUCUCAAAGCAUUCACUCCCUGUUCCUAGAGGAUAAUAAUUUUCUCAAACCCUGGUACCUUGAUCGUGACCAUUUGGAAGAAGAAACAGCCAAAUUCUUCACUCAAGUACACCAAGCCAUUAAAACAUUACGAGAUGAUAAAACAGUACUUCUGGAAGAGAUCUACAUGCACAAGAAUCUCUUUACUGAGAGGUUGAAUAAGAUAUCUGAUGGGCUGAAGGAGAAGGCCUGCAAUGAGUCCUGUGACAUACAGUCCACACUGAAGGUCACCAGCUGUGCUGACUGCAGGACUCACUUCCUCUCCUGCAAUGACCCCACUUUCUGCCCAGAUAUGUGCUGGGCGCACAGCGUGCUCAGUAAGUGUUUGCAAACACAUCAUGAGUGAACGAAUCAAAGAAUGAGAGGAUGGUGGCCUUCUCUCUGAGUUGAGGUAGCCCUGCCUGGCCUCCAAACACCUGGCUUCCUCUUUCACACCCCAGCCAGGAACCGGCGGACCUCCCUAUGGGCUGUGAGUCUCAGCAGUGCUCUACUCCUGGCCAUAGCUGGAGAUGUUUCUUUUACUGGCAAAGGAAGAAGGAGGCAGUAAAGCAGGAACAGGGCAGCCCGCAUGUCUUCCAGAAGUGAACAGAGGCCGCAGCUACCACCGUCACAAAGUUCACUCAUCUCUGGGUCCCGGUGACCCCAUCCCCCCAUACCCUCCAUCCUGGGUCCUGGGGCCCCAAAGCUCUGAGGCCUAGGAGACUGCGCUGUCUCGUGGUUUGCCUACUCCUACACCUUUGUAAAGAGUCUCUUCAUUAAAACCCCUCUUCAUAGCCUA